UACAGAGGGGGCAAGCGUUGUUCGGAAUUACUGGGCGUAAAGGGCGCGUAGGCGGCCGCCUAAGUCAGACGUGAAAUCCCUCGGCUCAACCGGGGAACUGCGUCUGAUACUGGGUGGCUUGAAUCCGGGAGAGGGAUGCGGAAUUCCAGGUGUAGCGGUGAAAUGCGUAGAUAUCAGGAAGAACACCAACGGCGAAGGCAGCUCGCUGGGACGGAACUGACGCUGAGGCGCGAAAGCGUGGGGAGCGAACAGG
This 253-nucleotide ribosomal RNA is filed under the name uncultured bacterium. Its description in RNAcentral is "partial 16S ribosomal RNA". It matches the Rfam family "Bacterial small subunit ribosomal RNA", at positions 524 to 776 of the family's 1533-position model. The record is from RNAcentral.